GUAUUAGGUUGGUGCAAAAGUAAUUGCAGCUUUGGCCAUUAAUUUCAAUAGCAAAAACUUCAAUUAUUUUUGCACCAACCUAAU
Molecule: microRNA precursor, 84 nt
Organism: Aotus nancymaae (Ma's night monkey)
Lineage: Eukaryota; Metazoa; Chordata; Mammalia; Primates; Aotidae
Source: Ensembl